Molecule: ribosomal RNA, 460 nt
Filed under: uncultured bacterium
Lineage: Bacteria
Description: partial 16S ribosomal RNA
Rfam family: Bacterial small subunit ribosomal RNA
Source: RNAcentral
CCUACGGGAGGCAGCAGUGAGGAAUAUUGGUCAAUGGGCGCGAGCCUGAACCAGCCAAGUAGCGUGAAGGAUGACUGCCCUACGGGUUGUAAACUUCUUUUAUAAAGGAAUAAAGUGAGGCACGUGUGCCGUUUUGUCUGUAUUUCAUGAAUAAGGAUCGGCCAACUCUGUGCCAGCAGCCGCGGUAAUACGGAGGUUCCGAGCGUUAUCCGGGUUUAUUGGGUUGAAAGGGAGCGUAGAUGGGUAGUUAAGUCAGUUGUGAAAGUUUGCGGCUCAACCGUAUAAUUGCAAUUGAUACUGGCAGUCUUGAGUGCAGUUGAGGUAGGCGGAAUUCGUGGUGUAGCGGUGAAAUGCUUAGAUAUCACGAAGAACUCCGAUUGCGAAGGCAGCUUACUAAACUGCCACUGACAUUGAUGCUCGAAAGUGUGGGUAUCAAACAGGAUUAGAUACCCUUGUAGUC